RNAcentral lists this ribosomal RNA (139 nucleotides) under Schistocerca piceifrons peruviana. Its description in RNAcentral is "partial 12S ribosomal RNA". The record is from RNAcentral. Lineage: Eukaryota; Metazoa; Arthropoda; Insecta; Orthoptera; Acrididae.
GGCUCUGAGGUGUGUACACAUCGCCCGAUCGCUCUCGUCAUAGAUUCUUCAAUUUUAUUACUUUAAGUUAGCCUCGAUUCAGAUGAGAUAAGUCGGAACUUAGUAGACGUACUGGAAAGUGUAUCUAGGAAGAGUUUCA